GGAGAGAUGCUCGAGUGGUUGAAGAGGCACGCCUGGAAAGCGUGUAUACGUCAAAAGCGUAUCGGGGGUUCGAAUCCCCCUCUCUCCG
Molecule: transfer RNA, 88 nt
Filed under: Prevotella sp.
Lineage: Bacteria; Pseudomonadati; Bacteroidota; Bacteroidia; Bacteroidales; Prevotellaceae
Also listed under: 5 other names
Description: tRNA-Ser
Rfam family: tRNA
About the family: Transfer RNA (tRNA) molecules are approximately 80 nucleotides in length. Their secondary structure includes four short double-helical elements and three loops (D, anti-codon, and T loops).
Source: RNAcentral